UAGGGAAUCUUCCACAAUGGACGCAAGUCUGAUGGAGCAACGCCGCGUGAGUGAAGAAGGUUUUCGGACCGUAAAGCUCUGUUGUUGGUGAAGAAGGAUAGAGGCAGUAACUGGCCUUUAUUUGACGGUAAUCAACCAGAAAGUCACGGCUAACUACGUGCCAGCAGCCGCGGUAAUACGUAGGUGGCAAGCGUUGUCCGGAUUUAUUGGGCGUAAAGCGAGCGCAGGCGGAAGAAUAAGUCUGAUGUGAAAGCCCUCGGCUUAACCGAGGAAUUGCAUCGGAAACUGUUUUU
This 293-nucleotide ribosomal RNA is filed under the name uncultured bacterium. Its description in RNAcentral is "partial 16S ribosomal RNA". It matches the Rfam family "Bacterial small subunit ribosomal RNA", at positions 355 to 640 of the family's 1533-position model. The record is from RNAcentral.